UGACCUGCCUUCGAGUGGGGGAUAACGUCCCGAAAGGGACGCUAAUACCGCAUAACAUCCUGCUUUUGAACAGGUGGAGAUCAAAGCUGGGGAUCCGCAAGGACCUGGCGCUCAAAGAGGGGCCCGCGUCUGAUUAGCUAGUUGGUGAGGUAACGGCUCACCAAGGCUCCGAUCAGUAUCCGGCCUGAGAGGGCGGACGGACACACUGGAACUGAAACACGGUCCAG
Molecule: ribosomal RNA, 227 nt
Filed under: uncultured bacterium
Lineage: Bacteria
Description: partial 16S ribosomal RNA
Rfam family: Bacterial small subunit ribosomal RNA
Source: RNAcentral